Molecule: non-coding RNA, 95 nt
Organism: Polyrhizophydium stewartii
Lineage: Eukaryota; Fungi; Chytridiomycota; Chytridiomycetes; Rhizophydiales
Source: the annotation of a GenBank genome assembly
GCUCCUGUAGCGUAGUUGGUUUAUCGCCUCGUACUUAUACUGAUUUCUGUCAGUAUGCAAUGCGAAGGUCCCGAGUUCGAGCCUCGGCAGGAGCA